AGAGUUUGAUCAUGGCUCAGAUUGAACGCUGGCGGCAUGCUUUACACAUGCAAGUCGAACGGCAGCACGGGUGCUUGCAUCUGGUGGCGAGUGGCGAACGGGUGAGUAACAUAUCGGAACGUGUCCGGAAAUGGGGGAUAGCUCGGCGAAAGCCGGAUUAAUACCGCAUAUGCCCUGAGGGGGAAAGUGGGGGAUCAGUGAUGACCUCACGUUUUCGGAGCGGCCGAUAUCAGAUUAGCUAGUUGGUGGGGUAAAGGCCUACCAAGGCAUCGAUCUGUAGCUGGUCUGAGAGGACGACCAGCCACACUGGGACUGAGACACGGCCCAGACUCCUACGGGAGGCAGCAGUGGGGAAUUUUGGACAAUGGGGGCAACCCUGAUCCAGCCAUGCCGCGUGAGUGAAGAAGGCCUUCGGGUUGUAAAGCUCUUUCGGACAGAAAGAAAUCGUGCGGGUGAAUAGCCUGUAUGGAUGACGGUACUGUAAGAAGAAGCACCGGCUAACUACGUGCCAGCAGCCGCGGUAAUACGUAGGGUGCGAGCGUUAAUCGGAAUUACUGGGCGUAAAGCGUGCGCAGGCGGUUUUGUAAGACAGGUGUGAAAUCCCCGGGCUUAACCUGGGAACUGCACUUGUGACUGCGAGACUGGAGUACGGCAGAGGGGGGUAGAAUUCCACGUGUAGCAGUGAAAUGCGUAGAGAUGUGGAGGAAUACCGAUGGCGAAGGCAGCCCCCUGGGUCGAUACUGACGCUCAUGCACGAAAGCGUGGGGAGCAAACAGGAUUAGAUACCCUAGUAGUCC
Molecule: ribosomal RNA, 797 nt
Filed under: uncultured bacterium
Lineage: Bacteria
Description: bacterial SSU rRNA
Rfam family: Bacterial small subunit ribosomal RNA
Source: RNAcentral